CCCCUGCCUAGCCUGCGACUAAUUACCGCUGGCGAAAAGUCGGAACCUUCACCGACAGGCCGGGGCUCCUUUUUGAAGC
This 79-nucleotide small RNA is filed under the name Polaromonas sp. CG9_12. Its description in RNAcentral is "int-alpA RNA". It matches the Rfam family "int-alpA RNA". Rfam says of the family: Acidobacteria (1 example), Planctomycetes (1 example), Proteobacteria. Environment (Lake Washington) The record is from Rfam by way of RNAcentral. Lineage: Bacteria; Pseudomonadati; Pseudomonadota; Betaproteobacteria; Burkholderiales; Comamonadaceae.